This 433-nucleotide ribosomal RNA is filed under the name uncultured bacterium. RNAcentral describes it as "partial 16S ribosomal RNA". It matches the Rfam family "Bacterial small subunit ribosomal RNA", at positions 29 to 507 of the family's 1533-position model. The record is from RNAcentral.
AACGAACGCUGGCGGCAUGCCUAACACAUGCAAGUCGAACGAGACCUUCGGGUCUAGUGGCGCACGGGUGCGUAACGCGUGGGAACCUGCCCUUAGGUUCGGAAUAACUCCCCGAAAGGGGUGCUAAUACCGGAUAAUGUCUUCGGACCAAAGAUUUAUCGCCUUUGGAUGGGCCCGCGUUGGAUUAGCUAGUUGGUAGGGUAAAAGCCUACCAAGGCGACGAUCCAUAGCUGGUCUGAGAGGAUGAUCAGCCACACUGGGACUGAGACACGGCCCAGACUCCUACGGGAGGCAGCAGUGGGGAAUAUUGGAAAAUGGGGGAAGGCAUGAUCCAGCAAGGCCGCGUGAGUGAUGAAGGCCUUAGGGUUGUAAAGUUCUUUUACCCGGGAUGAUAAUGACGGUACCGGGAGAAUAAGCUCCGGCUAACUCCGUG